Molecule: RNA transcript, 1898 nt
Organism: Pseudophryne corroboree (corroboree frog)
Lineage: Eukaryota; Metazoa; Chordata; Amphibia; Anura; Myobatrachidae
Gene: RARS2
Gene name: arginyl-tRNA synthetase 2, mitochondrial
Exons: 21
Source: RefSeq, a predicted model, not a curated record
GUGCAAAGCAGUCCGUAGUCUCACAGCCCGCGCACUGCACCCUGCAGAGAGGACAUGGCCUGUCAUUUCAGGAGAGCCAUAGCCGAGCAGGUUUCGCGAGUUGUGGGCGUACCGCCAGAAAAAUUACUCCAUCACAUUCAUGCAAUUCCAGUUCACAGGAGACAUGCAUCCCCUGACUUUCAGCUAUAUGUGAAUUCUGUGUUAGAUGAACCUGGUGAUGCAGCCAGUCACAGGAAGAAGGCACAAACUGUUGCAGAAAAGCUAACCUGUGACUCAGUAGUAAGUGAAAUAGGCUCUGGUCGGGGAUCCGUGACUUUCAAAAUCAACAGAGAUUUAUUAGUUAAGACUGUUCUGAACAGAAUAAACCAAGAUGGCUCUAGGUAUGGAUUUAACUCUGAGCUUUUGUCUGACACGCCAAAAGGUCUUACACUGGUUGAAUAUAGUUCACCCAAUAUUGCUAAAAAGUUUCAUGUUGGACAUUUGCGCUCUACAAUAAUUGGGAAUUUUAUUGCUAAUCUGAAGGAAGCAGCUGGUAAUGAAGUUGUAAGAAUAAACUACCUAGGGGACUGGGGCCUGCAGUUUGGUCUUCUGGGUGCUGGAUUCACCAAGUUCGGCAACGAAGAGGAACUUAACACUAAUCCUCUACAACACCUUUUUGUGGUUUAUGUGAAAGCCAAUGCUGCAGCUGAACAAGAUGAAGACAUGAAGCGGUCGGCCCAGGAUUUUAUGGGAAAGCUUGAGAGUGGAAAUCAGCAAGCUCUGUCCCUGUGGACACACUUCAGAGGCCUGAGCAUUCAGGAGUAUUCUAAAGUGUAUAAGCGUCUCAACGUACAUUUUGAUGAGUAUUCUGGCGAGUCCUUUUACAGAGAAAAAUCACAAGAUGUUCUGAACCUCUUGAGAAGCAAAGACCUUCUAAAGACAACUGAUGAGGGUACUGGAGUAGUAGACGUGUCAGAAGGAGGAGAUUUAUCAACUUACUCCACAGUAAUGCGUAGUGAUGGGUCAACGCUAUACAUUACAAGGGACAUAGCGGCUGCAAUUGAUCGAAUAGAGAAAUACAACUUUGAUGAAAUGGUUUAUGUGACAGACAAAAGCCAGGAAAAGCAUUUUCAGCAUCUGUUCAAAAUUUUGAAGAUGCUUGGGAAAGAAAAGGCAGACUGUUGUCGGCAUGUUCCAUUUGGGCGAGUACAGGGGAUGCACACAAGGAGAGGAGAUGUGAUUUUUCUGGAAGAUGCCUUAGAUGAAGCUCGCAUAAGGAUGCUGCAAAAUAUGGAAAUUGCUGAAACAAGCAAAACCACUGAGGACCCUGCUUAUACUGCUGAGCAAAUUGGCGUUGCAGCUCUUAUUUUACAGGAUUUUAAGGGUCCACUUGUGUCUGAUUACCGCUUUAAUUGGGACCAAGCACUCCAGAGUUGCGGUGAUACUGGUGUCUUUCUGCAGUAUACACAUGCACGACUGCACAGCUUACUUGCUUUGUGGCAUACAAGAGAGCAAGAAGAGUUCAGUGUGGCCUAUUUGCAGGACCCUGCUGUUAUUUCCACAUUGCAGCAUCUUCUCAGAUAUGAUGAAGUAAUAUUCAAGACGUUAAAAGAAUUUCAGCCAAGAUAUUUGGUUGCUUACCUUCUGGGGCUUGGUGUAUUGUAUCCAGGUACACGAUCUAUUAAUUCAGCCCACUACUAUCGCUAUGACUUCCACGGGAUGCAGUCAAUUUGCCGGCGGUCAGGAACCCAGCGUUCAGGAUACAGACGCCAAAACCCUACAGCCAACAAUGCUGCUAGCCAGAAUCCACGACACCCAUAGAGUGGGAAUAGAUUCUGAGACAUUUAGCUAAUGUUGCACAUCACUCGCUCCAUGUUAUAGGAAACACCGCAGAGGUCACACAUGCUCGACUUCACUUU